GAAGGGAAGAAAAAGAAAAUGAAACUCCAAAAAGCACAUAUUGUAUGAUUACCUUUACAUGUAGUUCAAACAGGCAAACGUAAAGUAUAAGGAUAGAUGUCAGGGUAACGAUUCUUUCUGGGGAGGUUGUCUGGGAUAGGGCAAAGUAGAAGCUUCUGGGAGGCAGGAAUUUUUAAAAUCUUGGUCCAACUGUAGACAUAUAUAAAAAUUCAUCAUUUUCUUCUUAAGUCUUUUGUGUAUAUUUCACAUAUAACCAAAAAUUAAGGGAAAGGAUUAUUCUGGUAAGAUAUAUCCCAAACUUCCAAUAGUGAGGGAGUAGGAGAAAUACGAUUAUAGGGAGAAACAGGAUGGAGAAUAUCACUAUGCCUAACCUGUUUGGGAAAAAUAUUUUUUUGCAAUCAUUGUAUAGUAGCAGAUAAAAAGGAAUUCUAUUUUGGAAAAAUAUUAAAUGAAUAAAUAAGCAGUAGGGGAGGGAAUGCAUCUAAUGAACAAUGUAGUAUUGUAAGGAGAUGAAGAUGGUGUGGGAAGGGGGUCUUUGGGACAGUGGAUGAUUGUGAAGAGCAGGGUAAUUUCAUAACACUUGGGGAGGACUGUGGUUGUAUCCACUCCCUUCCUCACUGGGCAUCAUCCUGGGGCCUGCAAGCUGGAUGUUUCCAUUCAGGCCUCUUUCCCUAAUACUUAGGGCAAAUCACAAUCCCACACAUAGUAAAAUCUAAAUUGAUGGUUUGAAUAUGUCCAUUUCAGACAUAUUUGUUACCUGUGGGAUUGAGUCACCCAGGAAGUCUUGGCAUACCCACACUCCAGUGUUUGUUUCACCAUUGAUGGAUAUGGCUCUAGGUGCAGGGCUGAUGCUAGAUGUACCACCUCCACCCCCAUUCACUGGCUCCCUGUAGACUUUACCCAAGCCUCCUCCUGUAGUCCCUGUCACCCCAUCCAGUGGCCUGACAACACAAGCUGGCCAGCUUGGUGGGCCUAUAAGUUCUCUGUGAUCACUUUUUAUCUGUACAUGAGUGGACUGACCUCUUUUAGGGUUCCUGCAGAAACUGUUGGGUGAGAUUUGUUUUUUAGUGGGAAGGGCCCAAGUCAGAUUCCAUGCACUUGCUCACCACCUCCUUGAUGUGCCCUGGCGGUUGUUCUUAUCCCCUGGUCUGCCUUAAUCAUUGGCUAAACACCGUAUAGUUUCCAGAGAAGGAAGAACAAAUUAACUGGUGAAAAAAGCUGCUGUGCACAGUCUCUUUUGUUGUAUAUAAUUGCUUAAAUACUUAUGAAGGGAAUAAAAUAAAGUCAAAGGUAAGGAAGGACUUCUUUUCUUGUGGCAAUGAGAAUAUGGCUUUGGAGAUUGCUUACAGCUUUCAUGAGUUAGAAUCAUUUUACUUUUCCAGCCAGACUUUGAAGUAGGGACUAUAGUCUACAUCUUACAGAUGAGAAAAUGGAGAUUGGGUAGGUUCAAUCACUCACCCAAAGUAACAAAACCAGUUCCACCAUGGAUGGAACCAGACAUGUCUCCUGGCCUAAUGCUUUUUCUCUACCAGUGAGAGCUCAACCUGCUCAGAAUUUGCUGUGUCAUAAGAGAAUUAUUUGACUAGAGAAGGCCCUGUUCUUUCUUCUCUUUCUAGCUUCACCUGAAAGAUCUAGUACAGCCCUCACCUGUGGGUUUUCUCUGGGCCUUUUCUUGACCUUCUGCACCCUCAUCCCCCUCCCUACUUCUGCUGUGAUGGCAGGGCCCCUCCCUUCCCACUCAGCCUCUGGAUGAAUCAGGUAUUUUUACAGUGAACAUAUGUUAUUUCCAUAACCAAGGAAAUUAAAAUGCCAAUAUUUUAAUAUCAACAAUUGCAACCUCAAAUUUCAUAAACAAAGGAACUAAAACUCAGAGAGAAUAUGCCUGGUUCAAGGUUACAUGAUGUGUUUCCAGUGGAACUGGCCAAGUUCGGAUCUCAUGGCUUCUGUCCCCAUGGCUCUUCCCCUGGUGCAAGGCCUGGUUAAGAGAGUGGUCAAGCUUAUCAGAAGUUUCUUAGGCAGGACUUUGGGGUUUGUUGUUCAACCUUCAUAGGAUACCUGGCUUUCUUCAGUGUUACAAUGCAAUGAGCAGGCAAUGUUGGGGGAGACACAAUUUGAAACAAAGAAAAUGUCUUUGUUUGGCUUUUAAUAUACAAAUACACAUCGUCAUUUCCUUUCCAUAAAGAGCCCUUUCCCACAGUUUAUAGGAAAAUGUUUUGUAACUGUUGACACAGCUCAUUAAUUGGUUCUUUGAAGAGUUAGUUGCCAUGACCCUUGGCGCAACCCAAAAAUACCUCUGAUAAUUAAGAUGUCUUUAUAUGUCUAGUCACACCCUGAACUGCUAGGAGAGCACAUUGGUCCAGGAUGGGUAGUCAGCAAUAAAGUUUCAGAUACGUACAGUUGUAUUCCCUGGGGCCCGACAGAGUCUUUCUGUGCAGGCUCACAAAGUCAUCUCAUGAGCACCUCACUGUGCUUGGGGUUGUCAAAGCAAUCAUCAACAGCUGUCUUUACUUUCUAGGAACUAACAGAUUUAAAAUCUUAAAACCUCAAGUUUAAGGUACUUUGUUGUUGAGACUUGAAACAUAAGUCAAGAGAUCUCCAUGUCCAACAUAGCACUUUUGUACCACUUUCUUCUUUGGCUCCCCUCAUUCCUUAAUAGAUGUCUGUUCUUCAGGGAACAUUUGAUCAUAUAGACCAUAUUCAGUCCUUCAUACAUAGCAUGUAAGGGCUUUUUCAAGAGUACUUUAUUAUGAUUUUUUGGCAUUGCUGCCUGGAAUACAAGUUGUUGUUGUUUUUUCUUUUGGUUCUACUGAACUGAGUUAAAUCUAUAACUAUACCUGCAGUUGGGAGUAACAAAUGCAACCUUAAAGGCUUUGCCAACUUAUGGAAUAAAAAGGCCACUGUUGAAAUGAUUAUUUGACUCAUAAAGGCAGAGAGCCUCAUGUUUCUCAACUAGUAAUUGUCCAUAUUGGAAGAUGAUCUAGGUGAACUCAUUGGAAAGGAGCCUAUCAUGUGAUAAAGGUGGCCUUUCCAAAGAUCAAAAGUUUUGAGAACCUCCCACAGUCAAAAAUCAGGGCAAAGAUUUAGAUUUAGCAUGGAAAGUAAGAGGCCAAUAAUGGAAACACUUGGAGUUCAGCUGGUGUUCAGCGAGGAUCUCCUCUAUUCCUCCUCCUCCAUGAGGGGGUCCUGUAUGGCAUGUUUGUCAAUUCCUGAUAAGAUUGCUGUAUUGUAAGUGCUUCGUGGUUGAGAAGGGAAUUGGGGAGACACAAGAUGGAGGGAGCACAAAAUGCUUGAGAAAGCUUUCUGAAAGAAUGGGACUUCAGAAUGCUGGUGCCUGGCGAGGCUCAGAAAAGCAGAAAGAUGAGGCAGGGAGUGGAACAAAGGAUAGUCUAAGGCUACUGAGAUACCUGACAGAUGUGUAUGGAGAAUGUUGUGAGGAUAGUGAGAAGAGUCUGUACAAUCCUGGAAGGUCAGCCAUACUGUCCUGGGCAGUUUUAAUAUUUGGUUCAGAAACUCUGCAACCUGGAAAAGGAAUGAGUGUGUCAUUCAUCCGAUUGUCUUCAGACCAGUUAGGGCUGCCUGUGAAUAGUGUGAAGGAGUAUCCCGACUGAGGACCUCACAUUCACGCCUUUCAUCCAAGGCAGCACAGCCCUUUUCUGAUGAACUUCCACCUAGGAUUUCACUUAAAGAAAACAAUUCUAAUGUACAGUUUAAAAGUUGGAAUCCACCAAUCCUAUGUUAAAUAUAGGGAAUCUGAGGUUCAGAGGAAUGAGUCAACUCCUUUUUAGGUUAUACAGCUAGCUUAAAGACAGAGCUUCUAGACUGUGAAGCCAGUCAAAGACAGCCUCUCUUAUGUCUUAUCCAGUAACUUUUACACUACCACACCCAUCAGCACGUUCAAAAAUAAAAUGUCAAACAACAUUGAAGGACAGAGUCACUUUCUCUAAGUUUCUUUUGAGAACUAAAUUGUUAGAAGUAAAUUACUCUGACAAAAUAACUUAUAGUGCUCAAAAUGUUUUUAAGUAAAAGAUGUUGGCUUUAUAAGGAUACAUCUUAUAGUUCUAUAAAACAGGCAAUACCAUGGGCCGUGAGCUCUCUAUAAAGUUUAAUACAACAUGAUUUAGGUAUAUUAACAAGAUUCAGGGUACAAAUAGCUUAAAUAGAGAUGCCAAAAGAAUAAACUAUUAGUUUCCUGAUUGUCAAUCAUAUGUAAAUCUUCAAGUAUAAAACUCUAAUGCCACAAUAACUUAAGAGAGAAAUACCCUAGAAACCAUGUCAGUAUAGUAUUUUUCCAGCUUGGCUGGUAAGAUUGGAAACAGUUUGUAAUUGUAAUUCUGUGCUGUUUGGAGCUGCCCAUUGAACACUUCAUUGUCUCUGAUAUUUAAAGGAUAAAAAACAUCACUUGCCUCUGAAACUGGAACCAAUUAUUCUACCAAGAUAUAAGCUAAAGGAUCAAAGCCCUCAACAGUUCAUUGAAACCACUAGAAUAUAAACUUGAUAAAAAUAGUUUCAAUUCUGCUAAAAAUUUUUCCUAUUGCCAAUAGUAUGUAACUGUAUUACUUUGAACAUUAGCCUAUGAUAAUUCAAAAAAGUUAUCUUGGUGUCUCAAAGUUAUGUCUACUGCAGGGGCCACAGACUGAAAAACCAGAUAAUCAUUUAAACAGGUGCACAACUCAUGUGUGACAACUGGGAACGGUGG
Long non-coding RNA from Phyllostomus discolor (pale spear-nosed bat), 4696 nucleotides. RefSeq lists it as uncharacterized. The record is from RefSeq and is a predicted model, not a curated record. Lineage: Eukaryota; Metazoa; Chordata; Mammalia; Chiroptera; Phyllostomidae. The transcript has 3 exons.